CCAGCUGUAAACGAUGCGCGUUAGGUGUAUCGGUGACCACGAGUUACCGAGGUGCCGAAGGGAAACCGUGAAACGCGCCGCCUGGGAAGUACGGUCGCAAGGCUGAAACUUAAAGGAAUUGGCGGGGGAGCACUACAACGGGUGGAGCCUGCGGUUUAAUCGGACUCAACGCCGGGAAGCUCACCGGAUAAGACAGCUGGAUGAUAGCCGGGCUGAAGACUCUGCUUGACUAGCUGAGAGGAGG
RNAcentral lists this ribosomal RNA (244 nucleotides) under uncultured Methanomicrobiales archaeon. RNAcentral describes it as "partial 16S ribosomal RNA". It matches the Rfam family "Archaeal small subunit ribosomal RNA", at positions 747 to 990 of the family's 1478-position model. Lineage: Archaea; Methanobacteriati; Methanobacteriota; Methanomicrobia; Methanomicrobiales. The record is from RNAcentral.